Calidris pugnax (ruff) is the source of this 1550-nucleotide long non-coding RNA. RefSeq lists it as uncharacterized. The transcript has 3 exons. The record is from RefSeq and is a predicted model, not a curated record. NCBI's taxonomy places the organism in Eukaryota, Metazoa, Chordata, Aves, Charadriiformes, Scolopacidae.
UGCCGCCCGCCCCCCUGCUGUCCCCAUCGCCGCCGCCUUACCCGGCCAGCUCCAGGAGGAGGCUGCCCACGCUGACCCCCCGCGCCGAGCCGGCCGCCAGCACCGCCGCCAGCUGCGGCAGCUUGAUCACGGCGCACACCGCCCAGGUGCUCCAGUGAGCCAGGGCCAGCAGCGUGGACGCCAUCCCGCCGCGCUGCGCUGCCCACCCGCGGCAGCCCGGAAUAGGGAACCGGCGGUGCGUCGUGGUGAGGUUGUGGUUAUCAGAGGAGAUUUACAGAUGACUGGAAAAAGGCAAAUGUCGUGCCUUCUUGCAGGAAGGAAGAUCCAGAGCAUGACAGGAUGGUCAACCCAACCUUAGUUUCCAGGAAAAUUAUGGAGCAAAUCAUCCAUAAUGGCCUCCUCUGGCUGUUUCCAGAAGCUGGAUAUUUGAGGCCCCAUUCUGCCACUGGAGACAUGAUGGUAAAAACAAGGUAGAAAUGAUCAAGAUUUAGAAAAAAAAAAAGAAGACUGUGAUUCCAGCUACUCUUCCUAUCUGGUUGGAUUUACCGAACAAUUUUCUGGUGCCCAAGGACUGGGAGUUUUGCUAUUGACUGACACGGAGUUGUCACAGGACCUCACCAUGAGGAGGGAGGUUAUGUCUGGGCUGAUAGACUCCUCUGUGACAGAGUGAUAGUGUUUCAACUCUGAUUUAAAGAACCUCCUCGUACUAAAUAAGUACAGUGGGUCCCUGUGUACUUCAUGUUUGAGGUUGUGUUGUACAAGUGUGCGUGAUAGAAGGAUAAAAAAACAUUGGAGGUUGCACGUAGUUCAUUGGUUUUGCUUGCACUAUGUUAUAUAUAUUUGUGGCAGACUGAAAACAUGGCUGUAUUUAUAUAAGGUUUACUUGAUGUUAGGCUGAGCAGAAACAUCACAAAUUGAAUGAAAGUACUGUAAGCAAAAAAAAAACCCAAAACACCAAACCCUGUUGACUCAGUGUUUGCUCUGUGAAAUGGCUUAUUCAGUUAACUGAGGGCCAUUCUGGGUAAUGGCAUGUUGUCUGAAAUAAUAUGGUUAGUUAAAAAGUAGUACUGAAAGAGUCUGGAAUACCAAACACAGCCUUAAAAACCUGACCCAAAACCUAACAAAGCCAAAGCACUGGGAGAAAGAAAAACAGACUUGCCUUCUCUAACUGGUUUGUACUGGGACUCCUUAAGCUGAUUUCUAUAUUAAAUUUGGAAUUGUCCCUUUUAUGUAGAUAAUCUACACUGAGCUUGUAGCCCAGAGAGGGGGUUAAGCUGUAGCGUUUGGGUGUGGAAUUGACGUUCUAGAUCCAUGGUUACAUCUGAAUGACUCAAAUAAGAGGUUCUAGUGAGAGUUGAAAGUGUGAGUACAUUAUGGCAGCCCUUCCAAUGGUCCUGGUGUGUGAUGCCUCCUGCGUUCCAGCUAGAGGUCCUAUGAUUCUCCCAGAGCAUGCAGAUGGGUCUGCCAGCACUGAGGAGCAGCUUCAGCAUCAUCAUGCUUGUUCCAGCAAAGAAGAUACUUGGCUCACCAGAUCUGAAACACUGCCGUGU